RNAcentral lists this ribosomal RNA (450 nucleotides) under uncultured bacterium. RNAcentral's name for it is "partial 16S ribosomal RNA". It matches the Rfam family "Bacterial small subunit ribosomal RNA", at positions 354 to 796 of the family's 1533-position model. The record is from RNAcentral.
GUGGGGAAUUUUGGACAAUGGGCGCAAGCCUGAUCCAGCCAUGCCGCGUGCAGGAUGAAGGCCUUCGGGUUGUAAACUGCUUUUGUACGGAACGAAAAGACUCUGGUUAAUACCUGGGGUCCAUGACGGUACCGUAAGAAUAAGCACCGGCUAACUACGUGCCAGCAGCCGCGGUAAUACGUAGGGUGCGAGCGUUAAUCGGAAUUACUGGGCGUAAAGCGUGCGCAGGCGGUUUUGUAAGACAGGCGUGAAAUCCCCGGGCUCAACCUGGGAAUUGCGCUUGUGACUGCAAGGCUGGAGUGCGGCAGAGGGGGAUGGAAUUCCGCGUGUAGCAGUGAAAUGCGUAGAUAUGCGGAGGAACACCGAUGGCGAAGGCAAUCCCCUGGGCCUGCACUGACGCUCAUGCACGAAAGCGUGGGGAGCAAACAGGAUUAGAUACCCUAGUAGUCC